Mirounga angustirostris (Northern elephant seal) is the source of this 8218-nucleotide RNA transcript. It is a transcript of the gene named progestin and adipoQ receptor family member 8, with no coding region annotated. The transcript is spliced from 3 exons. The record is from RefSeq and is a predicted model, not a curated record. Lineage: Eukaryota; Metazoa; Chordata; Mammalia; Carnivora; Phocidae.
ACUUCGGCUUUCCUGAACGGCGCCUCGCACUGGCGGGAAAUAUGACAUCCUGAGCCCUCUGUUUCUCCCCUCACUGACAGACAAGCUGACCAACGGGGCCGAGAGGAGGCUCGCGGAGUCUGAUCAUUGGACAGCCGGGCAAGACGAGGACGCGCUGCAUUCUGGGAGUCGUAGUCUUCCCCCUUUUACCGGAUGUUUUGUAGGGUUUUGUUUUGUUUUCAAAUUGCGGUGCCCUGACUUGUCGCUGAGUGAGAGGUUGUACUAAAAGUAGCCUAAAUGUCAGAGACUGGGAGUUUAUACGCAGGGAGAUAUAAAAACAUAAAAGCAAAUCGUUUCUUAAAUGUAUACAAAUCAGGUGUGCUGAGUAUGUUUCUCAAGCAACUGCCCUCAAGUGGCGUUCCGAGAAAAAAAAAAGUGGAUUUUGACAAUCUGUGGGAUGGAAACAGAAUAAUAGCAUCUUUGGGAAAGGUUCUUUAGUUCAGCGACCCAUUUGUUCUCUCAAUACCAGUGCCUGAAGUACCCCGUAAAAAUAGGCGGCGGAAGAGGGCGAAAUUAAAGAAACAUUUUCUGUAUUGUAUCCCGCCCCAUAGAGAUGGCCUCAUGUGUUAUUCUACAAAAUUCUGCACAUAAUUACUACACCAUCUUACUUGCAAAUGGAUGAGAAGACUACAGCUUUAAAGAUCCCAAAAUCCCAUACCAAUAAGGGACAGAGGCAGGAUAUGAACCCAGUUCGCUUCCCUGAUGCCACAGUCACGGGGACGAGGGACCAGUUCAGGAAUGACAGAGCGGACCCUGGAGGCGGCCCAAAACGCCUCCUUUCGCCGCCGCCGCCUCCUCCUCCCCCUCCAUGACAGUCUCGGGGUGUGUUUACAGACGCCCUGGAGAGCGGCCCGGACGGGAGGGUGGGCCAUUACAGUUUUUCUUAUUCAUUUUACUGUUUAAAGUAUAAAGAGACUUUUUCUCUGGACAUGAUGAAUACCUUCUGCUAGUUUACAGAUGGGCUAGUGUCUGUAUGUGUCCUGUAAUGUUUGUUUAUUCAUUCAUUUAAUCAAUUAUGUGUGAGUUAUGUAUGGUACAGUAAAUUAGAUAUUAUUUGUCAUCAGUUUUUAUUCUAUCUUAUCCUUCAAGUAAACUGUAUAUCAUAAUUUUGAAGUUUCAGAAUCAUUUAAGUGCCUGUUUUUAUUCAGCCAACAGAGCUUUGAGAUGUGAGUAUUUAUUCAUACUACAAAUAAUACUACCAGUAUUUUAUUAUAUUAUAUGCAAGGUAUUUAGGAGAAUACCAAGAUGGAUAAGAUGAAAAGUUUACAAUCUGGUAUGGAACUUAAGGCACAAACAUAAAUUGCCAUGAGAAAAGGCAACAUGUGUUCUGGCAUGGUACAAAGUGCCAUAGGAGUUUAAAAAUGGCAGAUAUAAAUUUGCAUAGGAGUGAUGAUAGAAAGCUAGAGAAAGGGGAUAGUAUUUGAUUUGAGGAUCAACAGGUGGGCAGUAUUUCCUGCAGGAAGAUGUGACAGUAAUGACAUUCUAAGCAAAAUAUGAAGGCAGGUGAAUACACGGUAGGACUAGAAGCAGGGAUGCAUUAGGCCUGACUGUAGAGGACACUGACCAGCAGAGUAAGGCUGUGCUUGAUUUAGUAGGCAGAAGGGAGCCAUUGAUAGCGUUUGAGCAAAGGAGAGACAGUAUGAAGUGCUUUAGGAAGAUUAAUCUGGCUAGAGAAUAUGUAGAAUGGAUUGUUUUCAUCAGAUAAAAGAAAUGAGGCCUGGAAAGGGUGUUCAAAGAAGGAAGAAAAGAAAAAGAUGAGAGUGAAACAUUUCAGAGGAAAAAUAGACAGAUCUAAAAGCUAUUUAGAUGAAAAUAGGAAUGAAGGAGAGAGACAUAAAAAUUACGAAUAAACACAUAUGCCUCACACACAAUGCCUCAAGGGCUUACAAAAAGCAUCUCAUUCCUAAUGAUCUUCAUUUAGAUCUCUGUUUAGAAUGAAAAAUUGUUUUGCAGUUACGACACAGAGGAAAAGAAAUUUAAGGGGCAACCACAUCUUUCAAAACACCAGUAGUCAGGAGAGCUAUACAACUUUGACAUUUAGUUCCAAAACUUUGUCUAGGACAGCAUGGAAAAGGAAGGAAAAUUAUACUUUGUUGAAUUUUAAACAAAGUAUAUAUAAACUACACCUCAAUAAAGCAAAGUGUACAUAGAUUAUGCCUCAGUCAACUUUAUUCUAAAAAUCUAAGCAAAAGAAAUAAAUCAUAAAAGUGGCAUGACUGUAUCUGGGCAGGUGGGAGAGGAUGCUGGGGAAAGCCAGUGCCCUUUGAAGUAAGCUGAAUAUCAAUUUUAAUUGGCGCCAUGCCAUUUGCCGAAGAACCUACAGGCCCUGUCCACAGCGUUCACAGUCAGUCUGAUAGACCAGAAGCCAGGGUUUGGGAAGACUGAGUCUCAUUGCGUCCUCUAUUCACUGAACAUUUGACAUCAUAGGAACAGAAUUUGAAAGAUGCUUGUGAGGCACUUUGGGAUACAAGCUGCAGAGAUGGUUGUAUUGAUCACUCACUUUCCUUUUAUAGAAAUAUAUUAAAAUCAUGUCCUACAUUCUUCACCCCACAGUUCACUUCCAGCACCUUCUUAUAUUCUUCUAGCUCAAUUGUGGUAAUCUUUAGGUAAAAAGAAAUACAGGCCUUCAUUAUCCUUCUUUCAGCCCUCCAAUAUUCCAGAGAGUGUAGAGAAACUAUUAUCACUCUAAUUUUAUAUUUUAAGUGCUACAACAGUCAAUCCAAAAAUCUCUGAAAAGCUGAGAGGUUUAGUGUUUACCUUUUUUCCCCAGCCUUUCAGCUGGAUUCUUUGAAGAGCCUCCAAAAAAUAUCUCUGAUCUGAAACCAAACCCAGAUGGAUAUUUUUCCUGGCCUGUUUUCAUCUGGUUAGCCACCUGUUUCUCUCUGUGGUAAUACAGGAAGGGGAGAUGAGAAAAUGGAAGAUGUUGGCUCAGAGCCCUAGAGGUCUGGUGAAGGUGGCUUUUAAAAUAAUCAUUCUUUAGUCACUGCCAGGCUCCAAUGCCACCUUCACUGAUUGGAAAUGCAAAGUAUGGCAGCAGUGUUUAUAAAAAAAUAAAUGGGGUGCCUGGGUGGCUCAGUCGUUAAGCGUCUGCCUUUGGCUCAGGUCAUGAUCCAGGGGUCCUGUGAUUGAGCCCCACAUCAGGCUCCCUGCUCCACGGAAGCCUGCUUCUCCCUCUCCCACUCCCCCUGCUUGUGUUCCCUCUCUCUCUGUUGAAAAAUAAAUAAAAUCUUUUAAAAAAUAAAAAAAAUAAAAAAAUAAAUGAAUAUCAGAGUGCAUACUAGAAUUUCAGAGGUGGAAGUCACUGCAGAAGCCAUUUAAUUUAAUGCCACAAUUCAUAAUCUAGACAACUGAAGUCCAGAGAAAUUCAAUUAGAUUCUAAAAUCAAUAUAUUUACAAUAAAUAGGUAAAGAAACAUUUGGUACACAACAAGACCCCAAAAGAAAGAUAGGUUUGAGCAAAUCAAACUCUUAGAAUUGCAAAAUAUAGUUAUUGAAGGAAUAAAUUAAUGGACUGGUUAAAAGCAGAAUAGACACAUUUGAAAAGAGAAUUAGGAAACUAGAAGGUGAAGCUGAGAAAAUUGCCAUAAUGCAGCAGAGUAGAGGAAAUGAAAAAUACAAAGAGGAGUUAAGGGAAAUGAAUGAUAGAAUGAAAAGUUUCAAUAUAUUAAUGGGAAUUCUAGAUGGAGAAAAAUUAAGGAAAUAAAUAAUAAGUAAACAUUUUCCAGAACUGGUCAAAGACAAGAAUCCUAAGAUUAAAGAAUCAAAAUGAACCCGAAGCAAGGAAUAUGAAAUCACACCUUCACUUAGACACAUUGUAACAAAACCCAGAAAAUUGGGGGAAAUAUUAAAAGCAACCCAAAAAAAGAAAAACAUUUUAGACUGGCCACAAAUUUCUCAAUUAUAACAACAAAGGCUAAAAAACAAUGGAAUAAUAUUUUCAAUUCCCAAGGACCAUAACUGACAGCCUAGAAUCCUAUACCCUGCUAAACAAUUAUUAAAGAGUUAGGACAAAAUAAAGACUUUCAGAAUAACACUUGAGACCUUUGUUGAACAGACUCUAUAUUUGUGUUUUAGGGCUGCCAUAACAAAAUACCACAGACUAGAUGGCUGAAACAGUAGAAACUUAUUUCUCCCAGUUCUGGAGGCUGAAGUCCCAGAUUGAGGUCUAGCAGGGUUCGGUUUCUGGUGAGAGCUCUCUUUCUAGCUUUCAGAUGUCCACCUUCUUGCUGAGUCCUCACAUGACCUUUCCCAUGAGCCUAUUCAGAGAGAGAGAGCAAGAGAUUGAGAGAGAGAGGGAAAGAAGGGUCUCUCUUCCUCUUCUGUUCUAAACAAAAGAUUCACAACAGCCAUAUUUUGGUUUGAAAAAGGAAAGAAAACUUUAUUAUUAUAGAAACCUAGUAGAAACAGAAGAAGAAAGGAAUCUACGCAUAGAUAAAGGUAAUAUCCAGCAAGAAAUGAGAAUAAGGCAAAAUUACAUCAAAUCGGGUACCUACAACAUCCAACCUCAUUAGCUGGGGCAGCCCCAUGGAAACAGCCAGGCUGGAGUCCUGAUUGAGAGGCCUGGGCAGAGCAUCCUCCCCUCAGGUGAGACUUCCAACUGAUCAUCCCCAUAAGGCCAUAUUUAUAUGGCAAAUAACAGGGUUUGAAAUUAAACCAUUUGUUCCUACGUGCAGUUUGGAGCAAGCUGUAUUUUCUAUGUUAUCAUGUUUCUAUAUUUUCAAGGAACCUGGGCUAUGUGUAUCUGCCUCCCCUCCUGGAUUCCAUUCCAGGGGCCCAACCCAGCCUGGAGCAGGAGGGGAUGGGAGACAAGAUUUGUAGCUCUCGGCAUCCAGAACAGAAGGGCCAGUUCUGACCUGGAGGCCAGAUCAUAUAUUUCAAACAACUAAGCUCCCAAGGUUAUUCACACAGCACAAGUCUCACAAACCACAUUCCUUAGCCUGCCUGUGUAUAUGCAGGUCCAGGUGGUCAGUUAUGCGGGACAAAUCACAAAAACAUCUAUCCCUACAGAACAUCUUCUAAUAAGGCCAUCAGUCCUAUUGGAUUAGGGCCCCACCAUUAUAACUUCAUUUAACCUUAAUUAUCUCCUAAAGACCUUAUCCCCACAUACAAUCACACUGGGGGUUGGGCUUCAGCAUAUCAAUUGUGGGGAGGACACAAUUCAGUCCAUAGCGGACUCCUAUAGGAUAAUUUCAGAAGGAAGGAAAUUAAAUACAAAAGUAAGGAAAAAAACAAAGGUGAGUAAAGAAAUUGGUAAACACAAAGGUAAAUCUAAAGAAAUACUGACUCUAGGGGCGCCUGGGUGGCUCAGUUGGUUAAGCGACUGCCUUCGGCUCAGGCCAUGAUCCUGGAGUCCCUGGAUCUAGUCCCACAUCGGGCUCCCUGCUCUGCAGGGAGUCUGCUUCGCCCUCUGACCCUAUCCCCCCUCAUGUGUUCUCUCUUUCUCAUUCUCUCUCUCUCAAAUAAAUAAAAUCUUUAAAAAAAAAAAAAAAAGAAAUACUGACUCUAAAAAUCAUUACUACUAAUAACAAUUAAUUUGGAGAGGAUUAAAAGUAGAUAUAAAUAACUAGCAUUGUCCAAUACUACUUUCUAUAAUGAUGGGAAUGUUCUAUAUCUGCUCUGUCCAAUAUGGUAGCCAUUAACCACAUGUGGCUAUGAAGCACUUAAAAUGUGGCUAUGCAACCAAGAAAAAAUUUAAUUAUAUUUAAUAUUAAUUUCAACUUAAGUACCUACAUGUGGGUAAUGGCUACCAUGUUAGACAGCACAGCAUUACAUAAUAGUAACAUGGUAAGUGGCUAGAGCAGAUCAAAGUUAAAUAGUCUAAGGUCUUUGUUUGGAAAGAGAAGGGACAUUUUGGAGGCAGUUAUAUUAAAGAUUUAAGGAUAGAAGCUAGAAAAAUUGAAAUAGAAUGUAUCAUUUCCAAAGUAGUAGAAGGAAAGAAGAAUAAAGAAAACACUGUUGAUACACAGAAGAUAGGAAAAAGAGAUGGAAAAAAGAAAUCAAAGAAAAGCAUGAUAAAUAGAAAGCAUAACAAAUACGAUAGAAAUAAAUAAGAAAUAUACCAGUUUCUUCUUACAAUGAGAGUACAGAAUUUUAAUGGAACCUCAUAUACCAAGGGCAUAUGGAGUAAAAAAAAAAAUCAGGUAGCAAAAGAUAUGUACAGUAUUAAACCUUUUAUGUAAAGUUUCAAAACAUAUAAACUAUUAGUAUUUAUUUUUAUUAACACAAAAAUAUGUCAAGUAUAACAAUAUGCAUGGGAAUGAAUGACACAACCCAACUUCAGGAGAGUGAUUUCUUCAGGAGGAGGGGCAAAGGAAAGGGAGUGGAUCUUUAGUUGAAUCUAAAUAUUUUUAAGAAAAGAUCUGAAGCAAAUAUGAUAGUGUCAACCUAUAAAAUGUGGGUGGUGAGUACCUGGGUUUCAGACUAUAUUGUUUGAAACUGAUAAUAGUUUUAAACUCUUAUUUUUUCAUAAAUAAAAACUCAAGUUCAAAAGAAACACAUCCAUCCAGAUACUUUCCUCUUUUCUCUGUAUUGGAUUGUUUCUCUCUGACUGGUUUAGAUCUUAGGACUCGAACUUGAUUUUUGUCACUUAGGAAACUUUAUCCACAAAAUAAUAAUCUAACAUAAUGAGCCCUCCUCACACCAGAGGACUAAGGAGCUAGAUAACCCAAUUCCACUGGAAAGUUCUGUUUACUUAGGACAGGGGUCAGCAACUUAUUAACAUUGUUUCUCUUAGUGGGAUGAGUGAGUACUCUUGGGAGCUAUUGGGUGCUGUGGGGAAGGAAGAAAGAAGAGAGAGAAGAAAAGGAAAAGAAUGGGGGAGGGAGUGGGGAAGGAGAAAGAGUUAUGGUAGAGGGCUACUGAUCCACUUUGCUCACAUGGGAGCCACCCCCCAUAUAUCCCUAUAGAAGAAAGCAGGAUGGGGGCACCUGGGUGGCUCAGUCAGGUUAAGUGUCUGACUUUGGUUCAGGUCAUGAUCUCAGGGUCCUACAGUCAAGUCCCAGGUUGAGCUCCCUGCUCAGGGGGGAGUCUGCUUCUCCCUCUCUCCACUCAUGCUCUCUCUCUGUCUCUCUCAAAUAAAUAAAUAAAAUCUUAAAAAGAAAAAGAAAAAGAAAGAAAGCAGGAUGGAAUGAUCUCACCUCAUUGCUUUGGCAUUUUUCUAUUAGCGCUCCUUUCGUUGUAUUGCAGUUACUGUUUACAUAGCUAUCUCCCCCACUGGACCAUGUCUUAUUCCACUUCUUACCUUGAGUGCUUAGCACAUGUCUGACAGAGUGGUCUUAAUGAAUGACUUAACGGUGAAUACACAACUUCAGAUCUUAAGUGAUUUCCUGUCUUCUUGUUUAAGCCUUCCAAGCCUUUCUCUUUUGCCUUACCGCCUUCCUGGGUCCUCUUUCAGACUCUCAGAAUUUAAAACCUUUAAACCUCUGUCCAGCUCUAAGCUGGGACACUCAAAACAACUUCUAGGUGGCCCACAGAGUGCUUUCUCAGGAAGACAAGGGAGAUAGACUGGGAGCAAUGUCUGGAAAUGGAGAUGUUCUGGGGGUGUCCCAGGAGUGCCACAGAGUCCUGAACCUGACUUUUUUCCUUUGUGGGAACCGUGACAGGGAGCCACAGUCAAGAGGAUAAAGGAGAGGGAUGUGGCAGUUCCUGACACCUAGUGUUCAUGUCCUUCCUCCCCUGUGUCCCAGGCGGAAGUGUGGGUCCCCCAACCACCUUCUCACUCCCAACCCUGGCUUCCCAAAGGCAGCCCUGGUCUUCAUGAUAACAGUCUCUUUUCAAGACAAAUCAGCUGUUCCUUACAGCUGUGGGUGGUACUAUCUUAACAGAGACAGCAGUCUGGCCGGCAAGAUAUUUCUGUCAUCUGUGCUGUGGGAAUAGGUCUGUUCUGCUUGGUUGCCAUCAAAGGGCUUUUCCUACAAAGAUGUUUGUGCAAACAGUCUAUUGGAGGGUAACUGGCCCUGCCUCAGGCCUGCUUGCUUAUUGGCCAGCCAGGGUCUUUCAGCAGCGAGCCAUUCAGAAGCCAGGGUGAAGCAGAGGCCAAUAAGAAGGCUGAAUGUAGCUCAGAUAAUUGCACACUGCAGUGAGACAGACAGUGGGCAGUGCAACCCUGGCUUAUUUAGAGGAAGCCUACUGUUUGCUUCAAGAGGGCCCAAGACAGUAGCUACAUACUUACCUUUCCCCUU